CCUACGGUGGGCAGCAGUGGGGGAUAUUGCACAAUGGGGGAAACCCUGAUGCAGCGACGCCGCGUGUGGGAAGACGGUCCUCUGGAUUGUAAACCACUGUCCCCAGGGACGAAGAUGACGGUACCUGGGGAGGAAGCUCCGGCUAACUACGUGCCAGCAGCCGCGGUAAUACGUAGGGAGCGAGCGUUGUCCGGAAUUACUGGGUGUAAAGGGAGCGUAGGCGGGACUGCAAGUUGGGUGUCAAAUCUACCGGCUCAACCGGUAGCCGCACUGAAAACUGCAGUUCUUGAGUGAAGUAGAGGCAGGUGGAAUUCCUAGUGUAGCGGUGAAAUGCGUAGAUAUUAGGAGGAACACCAGUGGCGAAGGCGGCCUGCUGGGCUUUUAUUGACGCUGAGGCUCGAAAGUGUGGGGAGCAAACAGGAUUAGAUACCCUUGUAGUC
Molecule: ribosomal RNA, 440 nt
Filed under: uncultured bacterium
Lineage: Bacteria
Description: partial 16S ribosomal RNA
Rfam family: Bacterial small subunit ribosomal RNA
Source: RNAcentral